This 299-nucleotide long non-coding RNA is filed under the name Physcomitrium patens. RNAcentral describes it as "long non-coding RNA (PPAT_LNC009257)". The record is from RNAcentral. Lineage: Eukaryota; Viridiplantae; Streptophyta; Bryopsida; Funariales; Funariaceae.
UCUUCUAUCCUCUUAUAGUGUAAGUGGACAAAAUCCAUUAUAUGACCCAAAGAAUUUUUCCACUCCACCUCUUUUUCUGAAGGAAACCUGGUAUGUUGUUAAUAAGUGCUAUUUCAAUUUGUAGUUGUUUUGUAGAAAUUGAAGUCUAAUUAAUGGCCGACAUGACUUUCUUUUGUUGUUGAGCUUGUACUUGUGGAACAUGAUGACCUCCAUGAGACAAAGUUGAAAGCAACAGGUUGUCCUAUAGGUUGCCCUUUUUCCUAUCCAUCUGAUUUUUGUGGUAUCCAUGUGAUAAAAAU